AUGCCACUCGGUGCCACCGAUUUCGCAACAGGAAAAACAGUCUGCCACAUAUUCUAUAUUUCUUCUGAUCCAGCUCCACUCAAUGAAUCUUGUCCUCUACAAGCAUCACAGUUUUAUUCCCUGCUUUGUACUGAAUCUCAAGGACCAAACCUAUUCGACGGAUUCCAGGAGAAACCUUCUUGGAAAUUGAUGUCAAAGGGGGAGAGAGAGAUCACAUCAAAGCUUGUAGGAGAGAGAGAUCACAUCAAGGGAGAGAAACAGUCUCAAGGACCAAACCUACAAGAGAGAUCUCAAGGGGGGAGAGAAUACUCAAGGAUCCCAUAUAUUAAGGGGGAGAAAGAAAUCUCCAAGGGGGAGAGAAUACUCAAGGAUCCCAGAUGCUUGAUGUUCAAGAGGAGAGAUGCCACAUGUCUUUUUUGGGGGAAAGACAUGUUCAUAUGA
RNAcentral lists this ribosomal RNA (441 nucleotides) under Triticum aestivum (bread wheat). Its description in RNAcentral is "partial small subunit ribosomal RNA". The record is from RNAcentral. Lineage: Eukaryota; Viridiplantae; Streptophyta; Magnoliopsida; Poales; Poaceae.